GGGCCCGCACAAGCGGUGGAGUAUGUGGUUUAAUUCGAUGCAACACGAAGAACCUUACCAGGGUUUGAAAUCAUUUCAAAACCCUUGAAAGAGGACCUCCUUCGGGAUGAAAUGACAGGUGGUGCAUGGCUGUCGUCAGCUCGUGUUGUGAAAUGUCGAGUUAAGUCUCGUAACGAGCGCAACCCAGUCUCUUGUUGCUCACUGAGUGCUUAAGAGAGACUGCCGACCAACAUCGGAGGAAGGUGUGGAUGAUGUCAAGUCAGAUGCCCCUUACAUCCUGGGCUACACACGUACUACAAUGGUAAGGACAAUGGAGCUGCGAUCCUGCGAAGGCUAGCC
RNAcentral lists this ribosomal RNA (339 nucleotides) under uncultured bacterium. Its description in RNAcentral is "bacterial SSU rRNA". It matches the Rfam family "Bacterial small subunit ribosomal RNA", at positions 917 to 1269 of the family's 1533-position model. The record is from RNAcentral.